Gossypium raimondii (Peruvian cotton) is the source of this 115-nucleotide non-coding RNA. NCBI's taxonomy places the organism in Eukaryota, Viridiplantae, Streptophyta, Magnoliopsida, Malvales, Malvaceae. The record is from Rfam.
GGCUAAAAAUUUCAUCAAUCUAUACUAUUAAAAACUAGCGUGAUUGACAGAAUAACUAGAUAGUGACACAUGGGGUGCCAAUUUUAAACAGUAAAAAUGGAUGGAAUUUUUAACA